ACGGGACUAGCAGCAACAAGAGACGUGGUUGAGGCGACGGCCACUGGAAGCAACUGACGUAACCACAGAGAGAAAAUAUCGUCCGCAACUUCCGUUCCUGCCACCGAACCAUCCACCGUACUGUACAAUAGGAUCACCAAGGCAACCAGGGCCAGGAACGUCCACUAACGACCAACUGCUGAAACAGCUUCACAUCUACAUCUGCAUGUCCGAACUGCUGGUGCACCAGGUGUGGAUGUGUACGUCUGAGCAAGUCUUUUUCAAAGAACAAGGGGAUAUUGUUCGUUCGUUCCGGAGUGAAAGCAUGCAGACACUCAACCUGUCGAGACCACGCUGGGCUGUGUCGAGCUCUGAGCUGGAAAAUGCUGGUUGCCUCCCUGCAGUUUUGGACCCGUCUAAAGAGGUGGUUCUCAAACAUUUUCAUGACACAGAA
This is a long non-coding RNA of Mugil cephalus (flathead mullet), 433 nucleotides long. RefSeq lists it as uncharacterized. The record is from RefSeq and is a predicted model, not a curated record. NCBI's taxonomy places the organism in Eukaryota, Metazoa, Chordata, Actinopteri, Mugiliformes, Mugilidae. The transcript has 3 exons.